AUUGAACGCUGGCGGCAUGCCUUACACAUGCAAGUCGAACGGAGAUUAUUAAUGAAGCUUGCGAUUUAAUAAUCUUAGUGGCGGACGGGUGAGUAACGCGUGGGCAACCUACCCAUAAGAGGGGGAUAACAGCUGGAAACGGCUGCUAAUACCGCAUAAACUUUUUAAGACCCAUGUUUUAAAAAGGAAAGGUGGCGCAAGCUAUCGCUUAUGGAUGGGUUCGCGUCCUAUCAGCUGGUUGGUGGGGUAACGGCCUACCAAGGCGAAGACGGGUAGCCGGUCUGAGAGGAUGGCCGGCCACACUGGAACUGAGACACGGUCCAGACUCCUACGGGAGGCAGCAGUGGGGAAUAUUGGGCAAGUGGGGGAGACCCUGACCCAGCGACGCCGCGUGAGGGACGAAGGGUUUUCGGAUCGUAAACCUCUGUUGUACGGGAAGAAGGAUGUGACGGUACCGUACGAGGGAAGCCCCGGAAACUACGUG
Molecule: ribosomal RNA, 484 nt
Filed under: uncultured bacterium
Lineage: Bacteria
Description: bacterial SSU rRNA
Rfam family: Bacterial small subunit ribosomal RNA
Source: RNAcentral